CCUACGGGUGGCAGCAGUGGGGAAUAUUGCACAAUGGAGGAAACCCUGAUGCAGCAACGCCGCGUGGGUGAAGGAGCGUUUCGGAGCGUAAAGCCCUGUCGGAGGGGAAGAAGAUAAACGUUACACGUCCAAGAACCCCGGGCUAACUACGGGCCAGCAGCGGCGGUACUACGUAGGGGGCAAGCGUUGUCCGGAAUAACGGGGUGUAAGGGGAGGGUAGGCGGAGAGGUAAGUCAGAGGUGGAAUCCAGGGGCUUAACUUUGGAACUGCCUUGAGAAGUGUUUUGCUGGAGUAUCGGAGGGGUAAGUGGAAUUCCCGGUGUAGCGGUGAAAUGCGUAGAUAUCAGGUGGAACACCAGUGGCGAAGGCGACUAUCUGGAU
This 380-nucleotide ribosomal RNA is filed under the name uncultured bacterium. RNAcentral describes it as "partial 16S ribosomal RNA". It matches the Rfam family "Bacterial small subunit ribosomal RNA", at positions 338 to 734 of the family's 1533-position model. The record is from RNAcentral.